CGUUAUGUGCCAGAGGAUGGGGCUGCGGCCGAUCAGGCCGUUGGCGAGGUAACGGCUCACCAAACCUUUGACCGGUACGGGCCAUGAGAGUGGUAGCCCGGAGAUGGACACUGAGAUAGGGGUCCAGGCCCUACGGGGCGCAGCAGGCGCGAAAACUCCACACUGUACGUAAGUACGAUGGGGUUACCUCGAGUGUAGUCUGUAAAAGAUUGCUUUUCCAUAGAGUAAUAUCCUGUGGGAAUAAGAGGGGGGCAAGACUGGUGUCAGCCGCCGCGGUAACACCAGCCCCUCGAGUGGUAGGGACUUUUAUUCGGCCUAAAGCGUUCGUAGCCGUCUGUAACCGUUGCCCGUUAAAUCCAGCGUCUCAAGCGUUGGACUGCGGGCGAUACCUUACAGAUUGAGGGUGGGAUAGGUAAGCGGUAUUUCUGGGGUAGGGGCGAAAUCCUUUGAUCCCAGGAGGACCACCAGUGGCGAAGGCUGCUUACUAGAACACGCCUGACGGUCAGGAACGAAAGCUGGGGUAGCGAACCGGAUUAGAUACCCGGGUAGUCCCAGCUGUAAACGAUGCUCGCUAGGUGUUGGGUCGGCCAUGCGCCGCCCCAGUGCCGCAGGGAAGCCGUUAAGCGCGCCGCCUGGGGAGUACGGCCGCAAGGCUGAAACUUAAAGGAAUUGGCGGGGGAGCAC
RNAcentral lists this ribosomal RNA (684 nucleotides) under uncultured archaeon. Its description in RNAcentral is "bacterial SSU rRNA". It matches the Rfam family "Archaeal small subunit ribosomal RNA", at positions 194 to 879 of the family's 1478-position model. The record is from RNAcentral.